Molecule: long non-coding RNA, 234 nt
Organism: Ipomoea nil (Japanese morning glory)
Lineage: Eukaryota; Viridiplantae; Streptophyta; Magnoliopsida; Solanales; Convolvulaceae
Exons: 3
Source: RefSeq, a predicted model, not a curated record
AACCACGAGUACACGAUAGUUGUCUGCUCCAUUUUUUCCCCAUGAAAGCCAAACCAGCCCUCGCACAAUUCCCACAUCGAAACCAGAUGAAGAAUAUGUUCUCUUAAUAACUCCCUAGCUAGAAGAAUUGCUUGCUGGGCUUGGUAGCGCAAGCUUGUAACCCGAGUGGGAGCAUUAUGAUGGUGGAACAGUUGAGCUUGCCCUGAAGGCUGGGCUGGGGUUGCUCUGUUACUG